This 72-nucleotide transfer RNA is filed under the name Ornithorhynchus anatinus (platypus). It matches the Rfam family "tRNA". Rfam says of the family: Transfer RNA (tRNA) molecules are approximately 80 nucleotides in length. The record is from Rfam by way of RNAcentral. Lineage: Eukaryota; Metazoa; Chordata; Mammalia; Monotremata; Ornithorhynchidae.
AGCGGCGUGGCUCGGUGGCCAGAGCCCGGGCCGGGGAGUCCGAGGUCGGGGGUUCGAAUCCCGCCUCCGCCA